RNAcentral lists this small RNA (664 nucleotides) under uncultured fungus. Its description in RNAcentral is "eukaryotic LSU rRNA". The stretch from base 251 to 405 matches the Rfam family "5.8S ribosomal RNA". The record is from RNAcentral. Lineage: Eukaryota; Fungi.
AAGUCGUAACAAGGUUUCCGUAGGUGAACCUGCGGAAGGAUCAUUACCGAGUCGUCGACACGAGUUGUUGCUGGCCCCUCAAACGGGGGGCAUGUGCACGCUCUGUUAACACAUCCACUCACACCUGUGCACACUCCGUAGUUCUAUGGUCUGGGGGACAUGCCGUCUUCCUCCUGUAGUUCUGCGUCUUUACACAUACACUGUAGAAAAGUCUUAUGGAAUGCUUACCGCGUCUAACGCAAUACAAUACAACUUUCAGCAACGGUUCUCUUGGCUCUCGCAUCGAUGAAGAACGCAGCGAAAUGCGAUAAGUAAUGUGAAUUGCAGAAUUCAGUGAAUCAUCGAAUCUUUGAACGCACCUUGCGCCCCUUGGCUAUUCCGAGGGGCAUGCCUGUUUGAGUAUCAUGAACACCUCAACUCUUGUGGUUUGCCAUGACGAGCUUGGACUUGGGGGCUUGCUGGCACACAGCCGGCUCCUCUCAAAUGAAUUAGCCUGCCAGUGUUUGGUGGCGUCACGGGUGUGAUAACUAUUUACGCUUGUGGUUGCCUGCCAGGUAACCUUCGGUGACGGAGGUUCGCUGGAGCUUAUAAACGUCUUUCCUUGGUGAAGACAGCUUUUUGAACGUUCGAUCUCAAGUCAGGUAGGACUACCCGCUGAACUUAA